Molecule: ribosomal RNA, 1495 nt
Filed under: metagenome
Description: bacterial SSU rRNA
Rfam family: Bacterial small subunit ribosomal RNA
Source: RNAcentral
AGAGUUUGAUCCUGGCUCAGAUUGAACGCUGGCGGCAUGCUUUACACAUGCAAGUCGAACGGUAACGCGGGGGCAACCCUGGCGACGAGUGGCGAACGGGUGAGUAAUACAUCGGAACGUGUCCUGAGGUGGGGGAUAACCUAUCGAAAGGUAGGCUAAUACCGCAUACGCUCGGGAUAGGAAAGCGGGGGAUCGGUAACGACCUCGCGUCUCAGGAGCGGCCGAUGUCCGAUUAGCUAGUUGGUGGGGUAUGCUAACCAAGGCGACGAUCGGUAGCUGGUCUGAGAGGAUGAUCAGCCACACUGGGUCUGAGACACGGCCCAGACUCCUACGGGAGGCAGCAGUGGGGAAUUUUGGACAAUGGGGGCAACCCUGAUCCAGCCAUGCCGCGUGAGUGAAGAAGGCCUUCGGGUUGUAAAGCUCUUUCGGUGGGAACGAAACGGUUACUCCUAAUACGGGUGACUACUGACGGUACUCACAGAAGAAGCACCGGCUAACUACGUGCCAGCAGCCGCGGUAAUACGUAGGGUGCGAGCGUUAAUCGGAAUUACUGGGCGUAAAGCGUGCGCAGGCGGUGGCUCAAGCCAGGCGUGAAAUCCCCGGGCUUAACCUGGGAAUGGCGUUUGGGACUGGGUCGCUAGAGUGUGGCAGAGGGAGGUGGAAUUCCACGUGUAGCAGUGAAAUGCGUAGAGAUGUGGAGGAACACCGAUGGCGAAGGCAGCCUCCUGGGCCAGCACUGACGCUCAUGCACGAAAGCGUGGGGAGCAAACAGGAUUAGAUACCCUGGUAGUCCACGCCCUAAACGAUGUCAACUGGUUGUUGGGGAAGGAAACUUCCUUAGUAACGAAGCUAACGCGUGAAGUUGACCGCCUGGGGAGUACGGCCGCAAGGUUAAAACUCAAAGGAAUUGACGGGGACCCGCACAAGCGGUGGAUGAUGUGGAUUAAUUCGAUACAACGCGAAAAACCUUACCUACCCUUGACAUGCCAGGAAGCCGGAUGAGAGUUCGGUGUGCCCGAAAGGGAGCCUGGCACAGGUGCUGCAUGGCUGUCGUCAGCUCGUGUCGUGAGAUGUUGGGUUAAGUCCCGCAACGAGCGCAACCCUUGUCACUAAUUGCCGGCAUUGAGUUGGGCACUUUAGUGAUACUGCCGGUGACAAACCGGAGGAAGGUGGGGAUGACGUCAAGUCCUCAUGGCCCUUAUGGGUAGGGCUUCACACGUCAUACAAUGGCGCAUACAGAGGGUUGCCAACCCGCAAGGGGGAGCCAAUCCCAGAAAGUGCGUCGUAGUCCGGAUUGGAGUCUGCAACUCGACUCCAUGAAGUCGGAAUCGCUAGUAAUCGCGGAUCAGCAUGUCGCGGUGAAUACGUUCCCGGGUCUUGUACACACCGCCCGUCACACCAUGGGAGUGGGGUUCACCAGAAGCCGGUUGCCUAACCGCAAGGCGGGCGCUGACCACGGUGAGCUUCAUGACUGGGGUGAAGUCGUAACAAGGUA